AUGAUUGAACUUGUCCCCAACAACGAUGUGCUGGAGAAGUGUAUUAAAGACAUCCUCUCUCAAAUAAAACCGGCAGAGGAUGAUCUGAACAGAAGACUAUCUGCAAUUAAGGAGCUGGAAGUUUCCAUGCAACCAGUUGCAGUCUUGAAAGGUGCUGCUGCAAAACCUUUUGGAUCCUUUCUAUCAAAUCUAUACUCAAAAUCAGGAGAUUUGGAUAUAUCAGUUCAGCUCAUGAAUAGCUCAAACCUUCCUAUAAACAAGAAAAAGAAGAUAAGUAUCUUGAAAGCAGUAAGGACAGCUUUGCAAAAGGGAGGUGUUUAUGGAUAUAUGGAGUUCAUUCCUCAAGCAAGAGUCCCAGUUCUUCAGUACGUGAGCAACCGCUUUGGCAUUUCCUGCGAUUUAUCUGUUGAUAACUACCCUGGUCGAAUUAAAUCCAAGAUCUUCUACUGGAUCAGUACUUUGGAUGAGCGCUUUGGUGAUAUGGUUUUAUUGAUCAAGGAGUGGGCAAAAGCUCAAAACAUUAAUGAUCCAAAAAGUGGGACCCUGAACUCCUAUUCGCUUUGCCUACUUGUUCUCUUCCAUUUUCAGACAUGUGAGCCGGCAAUCCUACCACCUUUGGAGGACAUUUAUGAAGGGAAUAUCACAGAAGAUUUUGCAGACAUGACGCUUUAUAAUGAGGAACAUCUUGAUGAGGUUUGUGCUGCAAAUAUAGCAAAAUUUCAAAGCCAGAACAAGGAACAAAGAAAUGAAAGCUCUCUUUGUCAUCUCCUUGAAACCUUUUUUCACAAGUUUUGUCACAUUGACUCCCUUUCGAGUGAUGUGAUAUCUACAUACACGGGUCAGUUUAAGAAGAUUCAGGACAUUCCAAUUCGGAGGAAGAAACCCUAUAGCUUGUUUGUCGAAGAUCCAGUUGAGAGGCCUGAUAAUGCUGCUAGAGCGGUUGGUGAGAGGGGGCUCCUCCUAAUUGCUAGUGCCUUCAGUGAUGCUAAGAACAAGUUAGCUUCCCUCGAGCAUACUGACCGGAACGACUUACUGGCAAUGUUGUCCACACCUGGUGUUUGCUCAAAACUUGGCGGAAGAGUCAUCGCUAACAAUUAUACAAAUACUCCGCAAAGGACUCGACAGCAUCUAAUCAACGUGGGAGCUAAGGUAUCUAAUAAUCAACGUCGCCCCAGAGCCAAAGGAUUUACAGGAAGCAGACCAGUCAAGAAUCCUACUCAGGCAAACACUGUCCAGAAUCCCACUCAGGUAAACACUGUCCAAAAUCCUACUCAGGUGAGCACUGAUACUGCAGGGCGCCAAACGCCAGGACACUACCGAAAUCAUGACCCUCCUCAGGUUUAUGCUAACGCCGCAGUUCAUCAGCCAUCAAGACAGCCAGGGCUAUACACAAACCAUUAUCCCCCAUCGGCAUAUACUCCGGGCCGCCAAACAACAGGAUCAUACCCGAGUCAGAGCCAUCCACAGGCGCACACUAAAUGGGGCCCGACAGGGGUACCAUACGAGAGUCAUAAUCAUCAACCGGCGUAUACCCCAGUGUACCAAGGAGCAAGGCCGUAUUACUAUCCGAGUCAACAGCAGCUUCAUACAAGCGGGUUCCAAACACCAGGAUCAUACCAGUACGAGUAUCAGAGUCAGUCGCCUGUUCAUACAGGCGGGAUCCAAAGGCCAGGACCAUACAACUAUCAUAGUCAACCGCAGGGUCAUACAACUGGGGUCCACACGCCAGGACAAUACCAGAAUGGAUAUUACAAUCAGCCGGCAUAUACUGCAGGCCAAGGAUCACACCAGAACUGGCGGGGGGCGCAAUACACACCCGACCAUCAGACUAAUAGGUACAAUAGGAAUGGGGUGGCUACAAGGCACGAGCCUGUUGCUGGAGGGCUCCAGAAUGGACCGGCACGGGCACGGGACUCGCGGUCGCAAGCCUCCUCAGGCCGUACGGAAUGGCGAGGAAGCAGCCAACAUCAGACCUGA
This 1977-nucleotide ribosomal RNA is filed under the name Triticum aestivum (bread wheat). Its description in RNAcentral is "partial small subunit ribosomal RNA". Lineage: Eukaryota; Viridiplantae; Streptophyta; Magnoliopsida; Poales; Poaceae. The record is from RNAcentral.